This 74-nucleotide transfer RNA is filed under the name Corynebacterium antarcticum. RNAcentral describes it as "tRNA-Arg". It matches the Rfam family "tRNA". Rfam says of the family: Transfer RNA (tRNA) molecules are approximately 80 nucleotides in length. Their secondary structure includes four short double-helical elements and three loops (D, anti-codon, and T loops). Lineage: Bacteria; Bacillati; Actinomycetota; Actinomycetes; Mycobacteriales; Corynebacteriaceae. RNAcentral also lists the same sequence under 1 other name. The record is from RNAcentral.
GCCUCCGUAGCUCAGUGGAUCAGAGCAUCCGGCUUCUAUCCGGCUGGUCGCAGGUUCGAAUCCUGCCGGGGGCA